Sarcophilus harrisii (Tasmanian devil) is the source of this 1028-nucleotide long non-coding RNA. RefSeq lists it as uncharacterized. The record is from RefSeq and is a predicted model, not a curated record. The transcript is spliced from 4 exons. NCBI's taxonomy places the organism in Eukaryota, Metazoa, Chordata, Mammalia, Dasyuromorphia, Dasyuridae.
UCACCCGCUGGGGACCACGUUCGAGCUCGGGUCUCCCUCCAUCCCGCCUGGUGCUGUGGCUCCCGGGCCCUCGGCACACACUGAAAUCUGUCCUUUCAGGUGAUUCCCAGAAACCCCCAUCAGGAGGCGCCCCAGCUCUUAUUGCGACUUUGCACCUGAAGAAGCUGAGGCUCCACAAGGUCACCCAGCUGAACAAACCCAAGUCCUCGGCUCUCACUCUGGGGAUAACUGCGGAAGAAGCCACUUUGGGAGGCAGGACCCGUGAAUUCCUAGGAAGAGGCUGCAGGUUUGCAGGGGCACAGCUGAAAGGCAACGAAGGCUCACUGGGGGACUACUGGGCUCCCACUCCAUCCAAACAGGUUCCACGGAUCUAAGAUGGAAGAACUUUGUCCUUGAGCUGAAUCCAAAUCCACUCACAGGAGCCCUCGGGAAAGGGGAUCAUUUAACAUCAGAGGGGCUGCCGGAGCUCUCCAAGGAAAGGUGCUGGAACAGAAAUGGCCUCCAAUCCUGACACAUGGCCCUGUGAGCACUUAACACCCUCUUCUCCGGGAGUGAGAAGAGGCUCUGUCUCCACGCAGCCCUAGACUUUCCUGGAUGCGAUUUUGGCAAGCUGCUCCCGGACAGCUAAAAGCCUCUCGCUCACCCCUCUGCUAAUGCUUGACCCAUCAGCCACCUGGAGAGGGCUCCCUCAGCCUGGAGAGUGAGGAAGGUAGGGAGGUGACAACCCCAGAGAAGAACAGACACUUCUAGUCCAUGGUGCUUAUGGUUCCCUGACAAUAUGUAAACAAGGAUUCUCUCUAAAGAUGGAAAUGGAUAACCAUCUCUACUUGCUGCCCUUGGCAACUCCGACCCACUCUCCCAUAAUUCCACUAGUGCAAGUCCACUUAAUGUGUUGGAGUCCUUCCAAACCUGCUGACAUUGAGACGGCAACACUUGGGAUCACCCGAUGAUUGUAAUGAAAAAGAUGAGCUUCAGUUUCUGGAGGACUGUAGCAUUUAAACAUUAAAAUAUUAUAUUACCCUUUUGAA